This 488-nucleotide ribosomal RNA is filed under the name uncultured bacterium. RNAcentral describes it as "partial 16S ribosomal RNA". It matches the Rfam family "Bacterial small subunit ribosomal RNA", at positions 28 to 507 of the family's 1533-position model. The record is from RNAcentral.
GAUGAACGCUAGCGGCAGGCUUAACACAUGCAAGUCGAGGGGCAGCAUAAUGGAUAGCAAUAUCUAUGGUGGCGACCGGCGCACGGGUGCGUAACGCGUAUGCAACCUACCUUUAACAGGGGGAUAACACUGAGAAAUUGGUACUAAUACCCCAUAAUAUCAUAGAAGGCAUCUUUUAUGGUUGAAAAUUCCGAUGGUUAGAGAUGGGCAUGCGUUGUAUUAGCUAGUUGGUGGGGUAACGGCUCACCAAGGCGACGAUACAUAGGGGGACUGAGAGGUUAACCCCCCACACUGGUACUGAGACACGGACCAGACUCCUACGGGAGGCAGCAGUGAGGAAUAUUGGGCAAUGGACGCAAGUCUGAACCAGCCAUGCCGCGUGCAGGAUGACGGCUCUAUGAGUUGUAAACUGCUUUUGUACGAGGGUAAACGCAGAUACGUGUAUCUGUCUGAAAGUAUCGUACGAAUAAGGAUCGGCUAACUCCGUG